GUCGUAAGUACGUGAUGGCGAUCCUGCGGAGCUAGUAUGGUGUCUAGCAGAUUCGCGCCCUGGGAGGAUGGUGCAGCCGCUGCGCGAAUCUGGGACUCCGGGUUUAUUCAGGAACCUUGAACAAUCAUCGGACCCUGGGGAAAGCCAGCCCACAGCUUAUAUAGCCUCUGGGUAGCCAACCCCAGGGUGCCACAUGGGCAAUGCAGACCACAUACAUGGAAGCAAGCCAGAUCCUCAGCCUUAGCCAAAUGUGGAGUUGUUUGUGACAGAGAGCACUCACCAUCGGGAAGGUGGAAGGCGGAAACCAGCUCCAUCUUUAAGGCGCGGCAUAACGCAGCUCUCUACAGUUCCCCCUUUUUGUUUUAGACGCAUCAGGUGUUGUAGUUAUAAAUAAAAAAUUAAAACCAAA
Long non-coding RNA from Meriones unguiculatus (Mongolian gerbil), 409 nucleotides. RefSeq lists it as uncharacterized. The transcript has 2 exons. The record is from RefSeq and is a predicted model, not a curated record. Lineage: Eukaryota; Metazoa; Chordata; Mammalia; Rodentia; Muridae.